This 468-nucleotide ribosomal RNA is filed under the name uncultured bacterium. Its description in RNAcentral is "partial 16S ribosomal RNA". It matches the Rfam family "Bacterial small subunit ribosomal RNA", at positions 28 to 507 of the family's 1533-position model. The record is from RNAcentral.
GAUGAACGCUGGCGGCGUGCUUAACACAUGCAAGUCGAACGGUGAAGGCGGAGCUUGCUCUGCUGGAUCAGUAGCGAACGGGUGAGUAACACGUGAGCAAUCUGCCCCUGACUCUGGGAUAAGCGCUGGAAACGGCGUCUAAUACUGGAUACGAGCUGCGAAGGCAUCUUCAGCAGCUGGAAAGAAUUUCGGUCAGGGAUGAGCUCGCGGCCUAUCAGCUUGUUGGUGAGGUAAUGGCUCACCAAGGCGUCGACGGGUAGCCGGCCUGAGAGGGUGACCGGCCACACUGGGACUGAGACACGGCCCAGACUCCUACGGGAGGCAGCAGUGGGGAAUAUUGCACAAUGGGCGAAAGCCUGAUGCAGCAACGCCGCGUGAGGGACGACGGCCUUCGGGUUGUAAACCUCUUUUAGCAGGGAAGAAGCGAAAGUGACGGUACCUGCAGAAAAAGCGCCGGCUAACUACGUG